RNAcentral lists this unclassified non-coding RNA (204 nucleotides) under Hevea brasiliensis (rubber tree). Lineage: Eukaryota; Viridiplantae; Streptophyta; Magnoliopsida; Malpighiales; Euphorbiaceae. The record is from RNAcentral.
AAUGCAAGUGAUAGUCCUUUAUUGCCUGAGGAGUCACAGAAAACAGUCUCAGGGUCAACUUUGCGGGUGCAGGGAGAGGUUAACAAUAGUUCAUCUGCUGCACUUACUUUGUCAACAUCGACAUCAACAAACUCUGUUGUUGGCGUGUACUCAUCAUCGUCAGAUCCGGUCCACGUUCCAUCUCCAGAUUCGCGAACAGCUGGG